AGCAAACCUUAUUUUUACCACCAUCUCAUCCUCCUUAAUUAGCAAGCCUUAUUUUCCCUACUAUCACCAACAUCUCAUCCUCCGAUUGAGAUGCAGAUCUUGGCCUCUUCACUCAUCCAUGUGCUUCCUUACUUUAACGUCGACGCCGGCCGUUGCGGGACACGGGGGCUGAAGAGCUAGAGUAGCAAGUCACCGGGGUACGUGCUGUGGCUGGCCGGACGUCCGGCGAGGGAGGCAACCAGAGGGAUGCAUGUUCUCUCUGCCGGCACGAGCACGAAAGCAGCAACAACUAAUUUCGGAUUACCAUCGAGGGGGGCGACAAUCAAUUUGUAGCCCAUUUAUACAGAAGUGAAGGACCAACCAGCUAUGAUGCCUCUCAUGAGGUCAUCAUGACAGGGGUUAUAGCCAGCGCGGCCGACAACUUCGACACCUUGAUGACCCCCAUCACCGACCAAUAUCCUGAAGGGGUGAAACAUGAGGCAUUGUGCCUUUAACCUCCCUGUCAAGCGGGAAGAGCUCGAGUGCCCAAAGAACAAGCUCGCCACCUAGCGCGGUGGUCGUGUUUAGGAGUUGUGCAAUCAAGGAUGUCAAGUCAACGUCGAGUUUGGCUUGCUGAAGAAGAAGGGUGUCCCCGUCUUCGACUCUCCGGUCAAGAACCUCGUCGCCGCCACGAUGGCAUCCCACGCGAUCGAGAUCUCGAAAGGAGACCAAAGGAGAAUUCCCUCAAGAAGACACGCCUAAAACUGAAGAUUUCAUGCAAAGGACAAAGGAUAAAAAGCAGAGAAUUAACCAGUUGCAGAAUUUACUUGGUCACUGGACAAUGAUGGCUAAUUUUAUCAAUACUGAAAACAGACAGAAAUUUUACUGCCGCGGACAAUGAUUAUGGAGACAUACUCAAAGCAAACGAACCUAUGCAUGAAGAGCUCUUAACGAUAUAGGUGUGUUCACGCCCGCGCGAUGCAUCAAGGAUGCGGGCACUGGCUAACUGGCUGGCCGACCGUAGAGAAGAGGUCCAUGGUGCAUCUGAUGGCUGAGGAGGCCGCCCUGCGCUCACAUCAGAGGAACUAAAAAAAUAAGGAGUAUGGGAAGUGUCUUACAGAACCAGUAUUGCGAAUCCAACCUCUACCAAGACAUCAGUAGGCCAUGAGACGAAAACCUCGAAGAAUGAUAGCUGGUCAUAACAGAUUGCUCAAACACGAGAAAAGCAACAACCGGCAUCCUAACAAAAAAACAAGUCCAAAAGCACAAAGCAGCUACAACUUAGCAAUAUCAGGCUCAGCAGAGAGACUGCAAGACGGAGCAGUGGCCUGAGUAUCCUUCAUCGCGUGACAAAUCUUCAUGGGGGGUCAUACAUUAAUUUGGGCAAUUGGAAAUUAAGGUAAUCAUUUUCUUUCUCCAGAGAACAUUAUAUUUCCCUUUGAAUAUAGUAAAUGGUGCGACACAA
Molecule: long non-coding RNA, 1444 nt
Organism: Triticum aestivum (bread wheat)
Lineage: Eukaryota; Viridiplantae; Streptophyta; Magnoliopsida; Poales; Poaceae
Exons: 5
Source: RefSeq, a predicted model, not a curated record